GUAAGCCUGCAAGCAAGUAUCGGUAUGAUAUUUGUAACGAAUAAAUGGAUUUGGGUCAACCUUUCUAUCGUUGUUCUAUAUUAGAUUCACAGUUUCACUUGAAGUGCGCGCCUGAUGAAAGCCAAAUGUAUAUUCUGAUCAGCAACAAAAAGCCAACGAGAAUUUAUAAGGAUUUUGAACCCACAUCAUCGGCAUUGGAGGAGGACUCCGAGGAACUUUCUUUAGUUGUAAGUCUUCAUGAUGGUGAGUUUAACAAACUUCUUAAUUACCAUUUUUUAUUUUUUUUGUUCUUCUAAAAGAAGUGUGC
RNAcentral lists this unclassified non-coding RNA (307 nucleotides) under Hevea brasiliensis (rubber tree). The record is from RNAcentral. Lineage: Eukaryota; Viridiplantae; Streptophyta; Magnoliopsida; Malpighiales; Euphorbiaceae.